This is a long non-coding RNA of Esox lucius (northern pike), 580 nucleotides long. RefSeq lists it as uncharacterized. The transcript is spliced from 3 exons. NCBI's taxonomy places the organism in Eukaryota, Metazoa, Chordata, Actinopteri, Esociformes, Esocidae. The record is from RefSeq and is a predicted model, not a curated record.
AGGAUGUGGCAAAUAUUUUGUCCAGUUAAACAAGAGUUUUCUGGUGAAUCUAUAGUUGCUAAGACAGUAGCUCGCUAAUUUGAAGAAGACAUGCUUGUGGUGUUUGGAUUCAUGACAUUAUCAGCACUGUCUAAUGGAUUGAAGAGCCACUGUAAUGUUACAGAGGCAGAAGAUCAGUAUUAUGGAGCUCUGGGAGGGACUGUCUAUCUCCGUCUGGUCACUGAUAACAUCGCAUAUAAUGAAAUCUACUUAAUAAAAGAUCCCUCUGGAAAAUCUAUAAUACUUUUCAAAAGGAGAAACAAAACCAACAUAAUGAAUGAAGCCAUCAAAUCUAGAUCAGAAUUCUAUUUCAACAAUGGGACAUUGAAGAUAACAAAAAUAGAAAGGAGUGAUGCUGCUGAAUAUUCCUCAGAAACAUUUAAUUUUGUUACAUCCCUAACCUGCCUAAGAUUUCAACUGUCCAUUGAAGAAGGAGGCAAUGAAGUGGUCACAUGGUCUCUAGUAGCUGUAGUCCUGGUCCUUACUGUGAUAGUGUCAGUUUUCUGGAUCCACUGGAGGAGGACACCGCCCCAGACAACAG